Molecule: ribosomal RNA, 397 nt
Filed under: uncultured bacterium
Lineage: Bacteria
Description: partial 16S ribosomal RNA
Rfam family: Bacterial small subunit ribosomal RNA
Source: RNAcentral
AUACGUAGGGGGCGAGCGUUGUCCGGAAUGAUUGGGCGUAAAGGGCGCGUAGGCGGCCCGGUAAGUCUGGAGUGAAAGUCCUGUUUUUAAGAUGGGAAUUGCUUUGGAUACUGUCGGGCUUGAGUGCAGGAGAGGUAAGUGGAAUUCCCAGUGUAGCGGUGAAAUGCGUAGAGAUUGGGAGGAACACCGGUGGCGAAGGCGACUUGCUGGACUGUAACUGACGCUGAGGCGCGAAAGUGUGGGGAGCAAACAGGAUUAGAUACCCUGGUAGUCCACACUGUAAACGAUGAAUGCUAGGUGUAGGGGGUAUCGACCCCUUCUGUGCCGCAGUCAACACAAUAAGCAUUCCGCCUGGGGAGUACGGCCGCAAGGUUGAAACUCAAAUGAAUUGACGGGG